RNAcentral lists this transfer RNA (72 nucleotides) under Dipodomys ordii (Ord's kangaroo rat). It matches the Rfam family "tRNA". From Rfam's summary of the family: Transfer RNA (tRNA) molecules are approximately 80 nucleotides in length. Their secondary structure includes four short double-helical elements and three loops (D, anti-codon, and T loops). Further hydrogen bonds mediate the characteristic L-shaped molecular structure. tRNAs have two regions of fundamental functional importance: the anti-codon, which is responsible for specific mRNA codon recognition, and the 3' end, to which the tRNAs corresponding amino acid is attached (by aminoacyl-tRNA synthetases). tRNAs cope with the degeneracy of the genetic code in two manners: having more than one tRNA (with a specific anti-codon) for a particular amino acid; and 'wobble' base-pairing, i.e. permitting non-standard base-pairing at the 3rd anti-codon position. The record is from Rfam by way of RNAcentral. Lineage: Eukaryota; Metazoa; Chordata; Mammalia; Rodentia; Heteromyidae.
GGAGGUGUAGUUCAAUGGUAGAAUGUUUGCCUACCCUGCACAGGGCCCUGGGUUUGAUCCCUAGCACUGCUA